GUCGAGCGAACAGACGAGGAGCUUGCUCCUCUGACGUUAGCGGCGGACGGGUGAGUAACACGUGGAUAACCUACCUAUAAGACUGGGAUAACUUCGGGAAACCGGAGCUAAUACCGGAUAAUAUAUUGAACCGCAUGGUUCAAUAGUGAAAGACGGUUUUGCUGUCACUUAUAGAUGGAUCCGCGCCGCAUUAGCUAGUUGGUAAGGUAACGGCUUACCAAGGCAACGAUGCGUAGCCGACCUGAGAGGGUGAUCGGCCACACUGGAACUGAGACACGGUCCAGACUCCUACGGGAGGCAGCAGUAGGGAAUCUUCCGCAAUGGGCGAAAGCCUGACGGAGCAACGCCGCGUGAGUGACGAAGGUCUUCGGAACGUAAAACUCUGUUAUUAGGGAAGAACAAAUGUGUAAGUAACUAUGCACGUCUUGACGGUACCUAAUCAGAAAGCCACGGCUAACUACGUGCCAGCAGCCGCGGUAAUACGUAGGUGGCAAGCGUUAUCCGGAAUUAUUGGGCGUAAAGCGCGCGUAGGCGGUUUUUUAAGUCUGAUGUGAAAGCCCACGGCUCAACCGUGGAGGGUCAUUGGAAACUGGAAAACUUGAGUGCAGAAGAGGAAAGUGGAAUUCCAUGUGUAGCGGUGAAAUGCGCAGAGAUAUGGAGGAACACCAGUGGCGAAGGCGACUUUCUGGUCUGUAACUGACGCUGAUGUGCGAAAGCGUGGGG
RNAcentral lists this ribosomal RNA (723 nucleotides) under uncultured Staphylococcus sp. RNAcentral's name for it is "bacterial SSU rRNA". It matches the Rfam family "Bacterial small subunit ribosomal RNA", at positions 61 to 766 of the family's 1533-position model. The record is from RNAcentral. Lineage: Bacteria; Bacillati; Bacillota; Bacilli; Caryophanales; Staphylococcaceae.